CCCGCUGAACUUAAGCAUAUCAAUAAGCGGAGGAAAAGAAACUAACAAGGAUUCCCCUAGUAACUGCGAGUGAAGCGGGAAAAGCUCAAAUUUAAAAUCUGGCGGUCCUUGUGUGUGUCCGAGGUGUUCUUUAGAGAAGUGUUCUCCGCGCUGGCCGGUGUCCAAUUCUCUUGAAAGGAAGCGUCAUAGAGGGAGAGAUUCCGUUUUUGGCCACGGCCUGCCAGGGCAUUGUGAUGCGCUCUCAAAGAGUCGAGUUGUUUGGGAAUGCAGCUCAAAAUGGGUGGUAAAUUCCAUCUAAAGCUAAAUAUUGGGGAGAGACCGAUAGCGAACAAGUACCGUGAGGGAAAGAUGAAAAGCACUUUGGAAAGAGAGUUAAACAGUACGUGAAAUUGCUGAAAGGGAAACGCUUGAAGUCAGUCGCGUCGCUCAGGACUCAGCCUUGCUUUUGCUUGGUGUACUUCCUGUUCGAUGGGUCAGCAUCAAUUUUGGUCGGUGGAUAAAGGCUCAGAGAAUGUGGCAUCUUCGGGUGUGUUAUAGCUCUGGGUUGUAUACAUCGGCUGGGAUUGAGGAACUCAGCACGCCGCAAGGCCGGGUACUUGUACCACGUACGUGCUUAGGAUGCUGGCAUAAUGGCUUUAAUCGACCCGUCUUGAAACACGG
This 660-nucleotide ribosomal RNA is filed under the name uncultured fungus. RNAcentral's name for it is "eukaryotic LSU rRNA". It matches the Rfam family "Eukaryotic large subunit ribosomal RNA", at positions 24 to 664 of the family's 3401-position model. The record is from RNAcentral. Lineage: Eukaryota; Fungi.